Telopea speciosissima is the source of this 95-nucleotide long non-coding RNA. RefSeq lists it as uncharacterized. NCBI's taxonomy places the organism in Eukaryota, Viridiplantae, Streptophyta, Magnoliopsida, Proteales, Proteaceae. The transcript has 3 exons. The record is from RefSeq and is a predicted model, not a curated record.
GCUAAAAAACAGAGUCGUUCCAAAGUUAACGAUGAAGAAGAUCGAUCAAGAGAACCAAAUAACCAAUAGAAGGGAGGAGUUUCUGGUGAGCUCUC